Molecule: transfer RNA, 57 nt
Filed under: Ovis aries (sheep)
Lineage: Eukaryota; Metazoa; Chordata; Mammalia; Artiodactyla; Bovidae
Rfam family: tRNA
About the family: Transfer RNA (tRNA) molecules are approximately 80 nucleotides in length. Their secondary structure includes four short double-helical elements and three loops (D, anti-codon, and T loops). Further hydrogen bonds mediate the characteristic L-shaped molecular structure. tRNAs have two regions of fundamental functional importance: the anti-codon, which is responsible for specific mRNA codon recognition, and the 3' end, to which the tRNAs corresponding amino acid is attached (by aminoacyl-tRNA synthetases). tRNAs cope with the degeneracy of the genetic code in two manners: having more than one tRNA (with a specific anti-codon) for a particular amino acid; and 'wobble' base-pairing, i.e. permitting non-standard base-pairing at the 3rd anti-codon position.
Source: Rfam by way of RNAcentral
UGGCUCAGUGGUAAAGCAUCUGCCUGCUAAUGCAGGGGACGUAGGUUAGAUCCCUAC